CAGCAGCCGCGGGAAUACGGAGGGGGCUAGCGUUGUUCGGAAUUACUGGGCGUAAAGCGUGCGUAGGCGGUUCGUUAAGUCUGUUGUGAAAGCCCCGGGCUCAACCUGGGAAUGGCAAUGGAUACUGGCGAGCUAGAGUGUGUCAGAGGAUGGUGGAAUUCCCGGUGUAGCGGUGAAAUGCGUAGAGAUCGGGAGGAACAUCAGAGGCGAAGGCGGCCAUCUGGGACAACACUGACGCUGAGGCACGAAAGCGUGGGGAGCAAACAGGAUUAGAUACCCGCGUAGUCCCUGUCUCUUAUAC
RNAcentral lists this ribosomal RNA (301 nucleotides) under uncultured bacterium. RNAcentral's name for it is "partial 16S ribosomal RNA". It matches the Rfam family "Bacterial small subunit ribosomal RNA", at positions 509 to 807 of the family's 1533-position model. The record is from RNAcentral.